RNAcentral lists this ribosomal RNA (418 nucleotides) under uncultured bacterium. Its description in RNAcentral is "bacterial SSU rRNA". It matches the Rfam family "Bacterial small subunit ribosomal RNA", at positions 89 to 518 of the family's 1533-position model. The record is from RNAcentral.
GGAAAGUAGGCGAAAGGGUAGGAGUAACACGUGAGCAACCUAGCCUCCGGAUCCGGAAUAAUACCAGGGAAACUUGGUCUAAAACCGAAUGAAGACAUUGGUCCGCAUGGUCUAAUGUUAAAUAUUUAUAGUCCGGAGAGGGGCUUGCGGCCCAUUAGCUUGUUGGCGGGGUAAUGGCCCACCAAGGCUACGACGGGUAGGUGGUCUGAGAGGAUGGCCACCCACACUGGGACUGAGACACUGCCCAGACUCCUACGGGAGGCUGCAGUCGAGAAUCUUCCGCAAUGGGCGCAAAGCCUGACGGAGCGAUGCCGCGUGAGGGGUGAAGGCCUUCGGGUUGUAAACCUCUGUCAUCCGGGACGAAAACAAUGACGGUACCGGAAAAGGAAGCCACGGCAAACCACGUGCCAGCAGCUGC